RNAcentral lists this ribosomal RNA (322 nucleotides) under uncultured eukaryote. RNAcentral's name for it is "partial 18S ribosomal RNA". It matches the Rfam family "Eukaryotic small subunit ribosomal RNA", at positions 1470 to 1796 of the family's 1831-position model. The record is from RNAcentral.
CCCUUAGAUGGUCUGGGCGGCACGCGCGCUACAAUGAUGCAUUGAAAAAGUCUUCUGACCUUAGAAGGUUGGGUAUUCUCCAAAGUGCAUCGUGAUGGGAAUAGUUUAUUGCAAUUUUUAAUCUUGAACGAGGAAUUCCUAUUAAGUACAGGUCAUCAACUUGUGUUGAUUACGUCCCUGCCCUUUGUACACACCGCCCGUCGCUCCUACUGAUUGGGUGUGCUGGUGAAAUGUUCGGAUCGGCCGUUUGUCGCGGUUUCCGCGUCAUGUGGCUGAGAAGUUCAUUAAACCCUCCCACCUAGAGGAAGGAGAAGUCGUAACA